GAUGAACGCUGGCGGCGUGCCUAACACAUGCAAGUCGAACGAAGCACUUUUAGUUGAUCCCCUUCGGGGGUGAUUCUAAAGUGACUUAGUGGCGGACGGGUGAGUAACGCGUGGGUAACCUGCCUUGUACAGGGGGAUAACAGUUAGAAAUGACUGCUAAUACCGCAUAACCCGCUAAGGUCGCAUGACCUAGACGGAAAAGAUUUUAUCGGGUACAAGAUGGACCCGCGUCUGAUUAGCUAGUUGGUGGGUAAAGGCCUACCAAGGCGACGAUCGGUAGCCGAGCUGAGAGGCCUCUACGGCCACAUUGGGA
Molecule: ribosomal RNA, 313 nt
Filed under: uncultured bacterium
Lineage: Bacteria
Description: bacterial SSU rRNA
Rfam family: Bacterial small subunit ribosomal RNA
Source: RNAcentral